GAGCGAGAUGAGCUGCAGCUAAAUAGCUGUGAAGUGCUCCUUUGUGUGGACCUAUCUCCGGAUGAUGGCCAUCUCAGAGGGUACUCAAUGACUCUUGCUCAAGGCCCAUCCUUGCAGGAGAACAAGGAGGAUAAAAGAGGAACUGAAAACCAUGAGGAUAGGGUUUCUGACAGUUCAGAUUCCUCACGAAGAACGGAGGUUUCUGACAACAGAUUCCUCAUGAAGAACGGAAGGUUUUCUGACAACAGACUUCUCAUGAAGAAGAAUGGAGGUUCCUGACAACAGAUUCCUCAUGAAGAACGGAGGUUCCUGACAACAGAUUCCUCAUGAAGAACGGAGGAUUUCUGGCAGCAGAUUCCUCCUGAAGAAGAAGACGGAUUCCUGAAGAUUGAGGUGAUUCCUGCAUACUGUCGAACUCUCCUGAGCCUGCUGCCUGACCGCUGUUGCUGCUUCAAGAAUUGGCUCCUCAACUUCCUCAUCUACCU
Tympanuchus pallidicinctus (lesser prairie-chicken) is the source of this 485-nucleotide long non-coding RNA. RefSeq lists it as uncharacterized. NCBI's taxonomy places the organism in Eukaryota, Metazoa, Chordata, Aves, Galliformes, Phasianidae. The record is from RefSeq and is a predicted model, not a curated record. The transcript is spliced from 3 exons.